Non-coding RNA from Salvelinus sp. IW2-2015, 1182 nucleotides. NCBI's taxonomy places the organism in Eukaryota, Metazoa, Chordata, Actinopteri, Salmoniformes, Salmonidae. The record is from RefSeq and is a predicted model, not a curated record.
AUGACCGAAAACCGGUCGAACUCCAUUUCCCCCCUCCUCCUUUCACCCACCAAACCAAUUCUGACAGUAUAAAAUCCCAUGUCUUUGACCCAGGCUUUACCAGUUGGUUUUGCUAAAUAAGACGUUUGAAAAGGAUUCUUUUUGCGAUCAAAUCUCAACUCAUCACGUCUGUCAAGAUGAACAAAAUCGUUUUUGGAAUCCUUGCAGUUGUUGCAUCUUUUAUGCUAGCGGAGUCGCUGUACGUGUAACAAAUGCCAAUGGGGCCUGAUGGGCGUUUGCCUAAAUCCUACUGAUCAGUCCUGCCCAACCAACACAAGUAGCUGCUUCACUGGAAGAGCUACCUUCCCCUCUCUCACUGCUUUCCCAGGCUUCAACACCCAAGGCUGUCUGGAGAAUGCUAAGUGCAACAUCACCAACACCAACGAAACCCUCCUGACUGUUUCCUACACCACUGUCACGACCUGCUGUGACACCAACAAGUGUAACCCAAUCAUAAUCAGCGGCGCAACCUCUGCCAAGCUCUCUGUCACCGCAGCCCUCAGUGCCGCUCUGGUGGCCUCCGUGUGGGGCAGCAUGCUGUACUAGAACAACUAGAAGACACAUUCUGAUUCUGAUUCCAAAGAACCAGAAGACAGCCCCUACAUCGAAAUAAUAAUGUAAAGACCAAUCCUAGUCUGUUUUUACAUCAUGAAAUGUUUUCUUAAACCGGUUUGACAACAGUUUGUUUCAUUCACACUGCAUGUUUAAACCGGCUUGACUUGUUUUUCUCAUGUUUUGAUGCUAUGCUGUCACAUCAUCCUCUCAAGUUCUUUGCCUCCUAUCAGAGUAAUGCACUGAGUAUCCAUAAUCAAGGGCGUUUUAGUUAUCACCUCAAAUUUUGCAGAGAGAAGCACAUGUCUCAGAAUGCAUUAAAGACACUCACUUUGUUUUCACACAGUUUCUGUUCCUGAAUGUUAAGAUAKWUAUUGUUGUGGAAGUCGAUCAGUGUAUUGUUGAAGUUGUAACAUUGAAUUCUUAAACCUUCCAUAUGUGUUUUUCUUCGUUCUAAUUAAGCUUAAGUUACUACAAUAAUGGGUGGCGCUUGUAUUAUGUAAUGAAAAUAAAGAAAAUAAUGGAAAGCAAUAUUUCAUUUUUUGCUGUUUUGAAUGAUCAGAAGUUUUGCAAUAAAAACAAAUCACUCAC